RNAcentral lists this transfer RNA (77 nucleotides) under Alishewanella phage vB_AspM_Slicko01. RNAcentral describes it as "tRNA-Met". It matches the Rfam family "tRNA". Rfam says of the family: Transfer RNA (tRNA) molecules are approximately 80 nucleotides in length. The record is from RNAcentral. Lineage: Duplodnaviria; Heunggongvirae; Uroviricota; Caudoviricetes.
GCCUCGUUAGCUCAAGUGGUUAGAGCGCCCGACUCAUAAUCGGUGGGUUGCUGGUUCAAAUCCAGUGCGAGGCACCA